UCCAGACUCCUACGGGAGGCAGCAGUGGGGGAUAUUGCACAAUGGGGGGAACCCUGAUGCAGCGACGCCGCGUGAGUGAAGAAGUAUUUCGGUAUGUAAAGCCCUAUCAGCAGGGAAGAAGAAAUGACGGUACCUGAGUAAGAAGCACCGGCUAAAUACGUGCCAGCAGCCGCGGUAAUACGUAUGGUGCAAGCGUUAUCCGGAUUUACUGGGUGUAAAGGGGGCGCAGACGGCGAUGCAAGCCAGGAGUGAAAGCCCGGGGCCCAACCCCGGGACUGCUCUUGGAACUGCGCGGCUGGAGUGCAGGAGGGGCAGGCGGAAUUCCUGGUGUAGCGGUGAAAUGCGUAGAUAUCAGGAGGAACACCGGUGGCGAAGGCGGCCUGCUGGACUGCGACUGACGUUGAGGCCCGAAAGCGUGGGGAGCAAACAGGAUUAGAUACCCGCGUACAA
This 450-nucleotide ribosomal RNA is filed under the name uncultured bacterium. Its description in RNAcentral is "partial 16S ribosomal RNA". It matches the Rfam family "Bacterial small subunit ribosomal RNA", at positions 330 to 797 of the family's 1533-position model. The record is from RNAcentral.